RNAcentral lists this ribosomal RNA (488 nucleotides) under uncultured bacterium. RNAcentral's name for it is "bacterial SSU rRNA". It matches the Rfam family "Bacterial small subunit ribosomal RNA", at positions 1020 to 1509 of the family's 1533-position model. The record is from RNAcentral.
CGGCUGGAUCAGUGACAGGUGCUGCAUGGCUGUCGUCAGCUCGUGUCGUGAGAUGUUGGGUUAAGUCCCGCAACGAGCGCAACCUCAUCCUCAGUUGCCAUCAUUUAGUUGGGCACUCCGAGGAAACUGCCGGUGAUAAGCCGGAGGAAGGUGGGGAUGACGUCAAGUCCUCAUGGCCCUUACGCGCUGGGCUACACACGUGCUACAAUGGCAACUACAGUGGGCAGCGACCUCGCGAGGGGUAGCUAAUCUCCAAAAGUUGUCUCAGUUCGGAUUGUUCUCUGCAACUCGAGAGCAUGAAGGCGGAAUCGCUAGUAAUCGCGGAUCAGCAUGCCGCGGUGAAUACGUUCCCAGGCCUUGUACACACCGCCCGUCACACCAUGGGAGUUGGUUUCACCCGAAGGCAGUGCUCUAACCCGCAAGGGAGGAAGCUGACCACGGUGGGAUCAGCGACUGGGGUGAAGUCGUAACAAGGUAGGCGUAGUGCU